ACGGGAGGCAGCAGUGGGGAAUAUUGCACAAUGGGGGAAACCCUGAUGCAGCAACGCCGCGUGAGUGAUGAAGUAUUUCGGUAUGUAAAACUCUAUCAGCAGGGAAGAAGAUGACGGUACCUGACUAAGAAGCACCGGCUAAAUACGUGCCAGCAGCCGCGGUAAUACGUAUGGUGCAAGCGUUAUCCGGAUUUACUGGGUGUAAAGGGAGCGUAGACGGCAAGGCAAGUCUGAUGUGAAAACCCGGGGCUCAACCUCGGGACUGCAUUGGAAACUGUCUAGCUAGAGUGCAGGAGAGGUAAGUGGAAUUCCUAGUGUAGCGGUGAAAUGCGUAGAUAUUAGGAGGAACACCAGCGGCGAAGGCGGCUUACUGGACUGUAACUGACGUUGAGGCUCGAAAGCGUGGGGAGCAAACAGGAUUAGAUACCCUGGUA
RNAcentral lists this ribosomal RNA (434 nucleotides) under uncultured Lachnospiraceae bacterium. RNAcentral's name for it is "bacterial SSU rRNA". It matches the Rfam family "Bacterial small subunit ribosomal RNA", at positions 341 to 792 of the family's 1533-position model. The record is from RNAcentral. Lineage: Bacteria; Bacillati; Bacillota; Clostridia; Lachnospirales; Lachnospiraceae.